Molecule: ribosomal RNA, 786 nt
Filed under: Arthrobacter sp. Act46
Lineage: Bacteria; Bacillati; Actinomycetota; Actinomycetes; Micrococcales; Micrococcaceae
Description: bacterial SSU rRNA
Rfam family: Bacterial small subunit ribosomal RNA
Source: RNAcentral
GCGGGUAAAAUGCGCAGAUAUCAGGAGGAACACCGAUGGCGAAGGCAGGUCUCUGGGCAUUAACUGACGCUGAGGAGCGAAAGCAUGGGGAGGGAACAGGAUUAGAUACCCUGGUAGUCCAUGCCGUAAACGUUGGGCACUAGGUGUGGGGGACAUUCCACGUUUUCCGCGCCGUAGCUAACGCAUUAAGUGCCCCGCCUGGGGAGUACGGCCGCAAGGCUAAAACUCAAAGGAAUUGACGGGGGCCCGCACAAGCGGCGGAGCAUGCGGAUUAAUUCGAUGCAACGCGAAGAACCUUACCAAGGCUUGACAUGAACCGGAACGGCGCAGAGAUGUGUCGGCCACUUGUGGCCGGUUUACAGGUGGUGCAUGGUUGUCGUCAGCUCGUGUCGUGAGAUGUUGGGUUAAGUCCCGCAACGAGCGCAACCCUCGUUCCAUGUUGCCAGCGGGUUAUGCCGGGGACUCAUGGGAGACUGCCGGGGUCAACUCGGAGGAAGGUGGGGACGACGUCAAAUCAUCAUGCCCCUUAUGUCUUGGGCUUCACGCAUGCUACAAUGGCCGGUACAAAGGGUUGCGAUGCUGUGAGGUGGAGCUAAUCCCAAAAAGCCGGUCUCAGUUCGGAUUGAGGUCUGCAACUCGACCUCAUGAAGUCGGAGUCGCUAGUAAUCGCAGAUCAGCAACGCUGCGGUGAAUACGUUCCCGGGCCUUGUACACACCGCCCGUCAAGUCACGAAAGUUGGUAACACCCGAAGCCGGUGGCCUAACCCUUUGGGGGGAGCCGUCGAA